GAGCAGUCAGGCGCACAAGGCCCUGAUAAGAUCCGGGAUCUUGCCCCACCUCCUGCUUCCAGAUCCGCCGGCUGGGGAUGGAGAAUGAGACAAGCAUAUCCAGGAACAACACCUAAGCUGUACUGGCCUAAAGGGCGAAUUUGAUACUAGGAUCACACCCAGUAAGGAGAGUUUCGAAAGCUGAAUGGAUUCCAUACAAACCCACUAGAAGACAAAAGCAUCAUCAGUGUAACUUUACAUACACCUGAAUGAACUUAUCAAUAUGUCCACUGGGCAUGAAUAUACAAUCAUAUGUAAAAGUUUGGGAACCUCUCUCAGCCUGCAUAAUUCCUUCACUUUCAAAAAUAAAAAAGAUAACAGUGGUA
This is a long non-coding RNA of Xenopus tropicalis (tropical clawed frog), 365 nucleotides long. RefSeq lists it as uncharacterized. The record is from RefSeq and is a predicted model, not a curated record. The transcript is spliced from 2 exons. Lineage: Eukaryota; Metazoa; Chordata; Amphibia; Anura; Pipidae.